UCCAGUCCAUACCCCCCUGAACGAGCCCUAUAUCGUCUGAUUUCGGAAGCUAAGCAGGGUCGGUCCUGGUUAUUACUUGAGUAGAUUUCUAAAAAUGUAGAUUCUUAGAAAAUAGUGGAU
RNAcentral lists this ribosomal RNA (120 nucleotides) under Sorex araneus (European shrew). The record is from RNAcentral. Lineage: Eukaryota; Metazoa; Chordata; Mammalia; Eulipotyphla; Soricidae.